AAAAACAUAGAGUAAAACAUUCAAUCAAAUAUGGGAACUGUUACAUACAGGUGUGAAACAAUAACAAACGUAAAUAAAGCAGUAGAGGAAGUAGUGACUCUGGUUUGGGCAUGAAGAGAGGUAGGCCCAGCAAAUAAUAGAAGUAGAUAGCGGCAGACUUCAGACUUCCAAAUGCACAGGUACAGGACUUAGGCCUGAGUUGUUUGAGAACUUGGCAGGCCCAAUGGUAAUACACGUUCAAAAAGAAAGAAAUAAGGUCAUUAGAUGUGUUGUUUCAAUGUAUAUAGUUAUGCAUGAAACAAACUAUCAUGGGCCUAGGUCGAAUUACACAAUUAAUAAACAAUCUAGAAUAUGAAAAUUAGUGUGGAGUCACAGAUAGUAAAGUAAUUCACAAUGAAGCCUUUUGUUGUCAUUAAACACUAAACCUAAAGGGAGUAAUAAAUGUUAAUAGGUUAGGGGCUAAGGGUAGAAUUUCAUUCAAGGCCAAGGCAUUCUUUGGAUUCCUGACACUUCAAAAUUUCCAAGGGUCUUAAGGUCCAGGACAGUGCAUGUGUCAGGGAGAGUAACCCAACCAAAAACUAAACUCUACUCCCUGUCGUACCUCCUUUUUACCUGAAAGGGGUAUAAGAGAGUUUUUCCAAUUAAAGUGACAUAAAUCGAAUGGGAUUACUUAUUUAAUUUCAGAGUCACCACUUGGAAUAAUUUAUGGUGUCCUAAGUCACCGGUUUAUUUUAAAAUCCCAAAUCGAGGAUAUUGACUCUAUUUUUUUUGGUCCGCGAACACAGAAGGCCGGGUAAGGAAUUCUGUUAACCCGGGAGAAUGUGUUAGGCACUCCCGAGUUCCGCGGUUUUAGCACGGUCGCUCAACUAUUAAUAAUUGACCUAACUAUCUGAUUUAUUACAUGUGUUUAAACCUAUUGUGCAUUUUUAAACUUUAUAACCUCUUUUAUUUAUUUAUGAAAUUAUUUCUGGAACAAGUCAUGAUUGUCGUAUACUUGUCGUUUUGGUACACACUGCAGACCGCGUCACGAGAACCGUACUCACAAUUUACAACAUGUUUAUGUUUUAUUAUUAUUCGAAAUUAUGGUCGGGUCACAUGAAAUGCACACCCGAACUACUAUCGAUUUAAUUAAAUAAAGUGAAAUAAAGGAAUAACAACAAAACUAUCCAAAAUUCAAAUCUUAUUAAUAUUCGGUAUUUGCCAUGAUCAAUUUAUCCUAAGAAAUUCAAGUCCCCCUUUUUUUUAAAUAAAUAAAUAAAAAAAUACCACAACUCCACUGCCCGUCAUUCCCAUUAUUUUAACAACCACACAUGUAAUAAUCAAAAUCAUUUAAUUCAAAAUCAUCACCAGGAAAACAAAAUCGUCAAUCACACAUGUAAUAAUCAAAACCCACAUUUAAUUCAAACUCAAUCAUGAUCUAACACAACCAAUAUAAAAAAAAGAUCUGGAGCUUAAGAGAAAGAGAAAGGAACCUUUAAAUAUCUGAAAUUUGAUUCUUUCACGGAGAACUCGAAAAUGUAAGGACCGCGAAUGAAAACUGAAAUCGGCACCGGAAACCCCAAACUAAACCAAACACCUCCACGGUAAUUCAAUUUGCAACAGAACCAUUUUUAUUUUCUAUUUUUCAUAACUACAAGUUUGAAGUCUACAGCAACAAAAGGAAUCUAUAUCCCUUUUUUUAUGAAUUGAUCUUCAGCACCUUCUGCUACGUUAAUCUCCAAAUCCUUUGUUGAGACUCGUUUCCCUUGUCCGUUCUUAUGUUUGUCUCUGUGUGUGUGUUUCAUU
This 1785-nucleotide long non-coding RNA is filed under the name Nicotiana tabacum (common tobacco). RNAcentral's name for it is "long non-coding RNA (NTAB_LNC004924)". The record is from RNAcentral. Lineage: Eukaryota; Viridiplantae; Streptophyta; Magnoliopsida; Solanales; Solanaceae.